GACCAAAUAUUUUGAUGUCUUGACAAGAACAAUCUCCAAUGUUCAUCGUUUGCGCACGAAAAAGAAUCUACAAGAUAUAACACAUUAGCAAAUUAUACAAAAUUCAUCAAAACUAAACCAUUAGAGAACGAACAAUACCAAUAAUGUGCUAAUUGCACAAGUCCUCAACCUAAUUGUUUGCUUGCGUGGAUAGUGCCGACGAGGACGACCCACCGUCUAAUCAAGCGGGAGAUGAAUUUUAACCGGCACUAGAGGAUCUGCCACCUGUUUGCCCGCGCUUGCGCUUCCCGUCCUGACAGUCGGCUGUGGUAGUCAUGGACGAGGCCUGGCCACAAUCGCUCUUGUGAUCUUGCCGGCGAGGGUGAUCCGGCACUUCGCGUCAGAGGCGCAGUCGCGCAAGAGUGGUGGUUAGGGCCAGCCGGCCAGGUUGUGUCUCGCGAGUAUCGUUUUCACGCACACAAACAGGCUAGAUGAGAGGCUGAUAGAUCGAUUCAUAUUCGUGCUAUUCUUCUCAUGACCUACCAUGGCCUGCUGUAGCCCAUGUACAGAGUUG
RNAcentral lists this long non-coding RNA (553 nucleotides) under Hordeum vulgare. RNAcentral describes it as "long non-coding RNA (HVUL_LNC010994)". The record is from RNAcentral. Lineage: Eukaryota; Viridiplantae; Streptophyta; Magnoliopsida; Poales; Poaceae.